RNAcentral lists this ribosomal RNA (497 nucleotides) under uncultured bacterium. Its description in RNAcentral is "partial 16S ribosomal RNA". It matches the Rfam family "Bacterial small subunit ribosomal RNA", at positions 28 to 507 of the family's 1533-position model. The record is from RNAcentral.
GAUGAACGCUGGCGGCGUGCCUAAUACAUGCAAGUCGAGCGAACAGACGAGGAUCUUGCUCCUCUGACGUUAGCGGCGGACGGGUGAGUAACACGUGUAUAACCUACCUAUAAUACUGGGAUAAUUUCGGGAAACCGGAGCUAAUACCGUAUAAUAUAUUGAACCGCAUGGUUCAAUAGUGAAAGACGGUUUUGCUGUCACUUAUAGAUGGAUCCGCGCCGCAUUAGCUAGUUGGGAAGGUAAAGGCUUACCAAGGCAACGAUGCGUAGCCGACCUGAGAGGGUGAUAGGCGACCCUGGAACGGAGACACGGUCAAGACUCCUACGGGACGCAGCAGUAGGGAAUCGUACGCAAUGGGGGAAAGCCUGACGGAGCAAGGCGGCGUGAGUGAUGAAGGUCUUCGGAUCGUAAAACUCUGUUAUUAGGGAAGAACAAAUGUGUAAGUAACUAUGCACGUAUUGACGGUACCUAAUCAGAAAGCCACGGCUAACUACGUG